This is an RNA transcript of Phyllostomus hastatus (greater spear-nosed bat), 1549 nucleotides long. It is a transcript of the gene named testis expressed 30, with no coding region annotated. NCBI's taxonomy places the organism in Eukaryota, Metazoa, Chordata, Mammalia, Chiroptera, Phyllostomidae. The record is from RefSeq and is a predicted model, not a curated record. The transcript has 10 exons.
CUGCGCCCAGCCCGCGCUUCCGCUUUAAUGGAACACUCUGGCGGGUGGUGGCGAAAGGGUUCUUUCUAGAGGAGAAGUUUGCUCCCUGGACUGAUUAAGGGCGGAUAGGUGCUACCCGCUACUUCCCCUUCCCCGGGAGAUGUCCUUUGCUUCUCAGAUGUAAUGCACUUUAAGUUUGUUAUUCAACAGUGAAAAUGAGUCAUACAGAGGUUAAAUUAAAAAUACCUUUUGGAAAUAAAUUACUAGAUGCUGUUUGUUUGGUACCUAGCAAGAGCUUAACAUAUGGAGUAAUUCUUACACAUGGAGCAUCAGGAGAUAUGAAUCUUCCUCAUUUGAUGUCACUGUCAUCCCAUCUUGCAUCUCAUGGUUUUUUUUGCCUGAGGUUUACCUGUAAAGGCCUUAAUAUUGUACAUAGAGUUAAAGCAUAUAAAUCAGUCUUGAGUUACCUCAAGACCUCACGAGAAUACAAACUUGUAGGUGUUUUUCUUGGAGGUCGUUCAAUGGGCUCAAGAGCAGCUGCUGCUGUAAUGUGUCAUAUUGAACCAGAUGAUGCUGAUGAUUUUGUCCGUGGUCUCAUUUGUAUUUCUUAUCCACUGCACCAUCCAAAGCAGCAGAAUAAACUUAGAGAUGAAAAUCUCUUUCGUAUAAAAGAACCUGUAUUAUUUGUGUCAGGCUCAGCAGAUGAAAUGUGUGAAAAGAACUUGCUGGAGAAAGUUGCACAGAAAAUGCAAGCUCCUAAUAAAAUCUACUGGAUUGAGAAGGCAAAUCAUUCUAUGGCAGUGAAAGGACGGUCAACAAAUGACGUUUUCAAAGAAAUAAAUACACAAAUUUUGUUUUGGAUCCAAGAAGUCACUGAAAUGGACAAGAAAUAAUUGUCUUUAGUUCAAAGCCAUAUUACUUUGAAUACAAAUACAGUUAAUUUGAUAGAGAACGGCAUAACUCUCAGCAUUAUGAGGAGUUAUUUUUGAAAUCGUGCUCAUAAAGAUUUAUACAUGGUUUCAGAAAAAGCUUGCACUUCCAGAAAAGGGUAUUUCAGAUGCCCAGGAGAGAAUGAAGACAGUCAUCUGAAAACAUGAAAUUUGGUUAUUGGUUAAUUCAUCUUCAGAAGAAAGGGCUGAUGACAUCCGCUGCAAGUUAAGUUACAGAGAAAUGCAGGACAUGAUCAUAGAACUGAACCAUUUUGGUAAUAAUAAAAGCCUUAGCGUGAUAGAUUUGAAAAAGAGUCCAGGUCACCUCCCUUCAUUUCAGGGAGUUGAAAAGAAGACCUACUAGUCAUAAGACCACAGCAUAUCCACAUAAAGAUCUAGAGUUAAAAGAAACAACAAAAAAGGGAAAAAAGUGACAGUAGAAAAGAAUGUACCAAUGUUUGAGAAAAAGGAAAAGAAAAAGAAGCUCUAAUAUUGACUCAAGCUAAAUCAUCAUUCAUUUGGCUCAGUGGUUAAAUAUAGUUCCUCAUAAAUGAAUAUUUCCUAUUUGCUGAGGCUUUAUAUUUUAUGCCUUAUAUUCUACUUUAAGGGUUUUCAAAAUGAGUAGUCUUCCUCUUUCUUAA